Molecule: ribosomal RNA, 506 nt
Filed under: uncultured bacterium
Lineage: Bacteria
Description: partial 16S ribosomal RNA
Rfam family: Bacterial small subunit ribosomal RNA
Source: RNAcentral
AUUGAACGCUGGCGGCAGGCCUAACACAUGCAAGUCGAACGGUAACAGGAAGCAGCUUGCUGCUUUGCUGACGAGUGGCGGACGGGUGAGUAAUGUCUGGGAAACUGCCUGAUGGAGGGGGAUAACUACUGGAAACGGUAGCUAAUACCGCAUAACGUCGCAAGACCAAAGUGGGGGACCUUCGGGCCUCACACCAUCGGAUGUGCCCAGAUGGGAUUAGCUAGUAGGUGGGGUAAUGGCUCACCUAGGCGACGAUCCCUAGCUGGUCUGAGAGGAUGACCAGCCACACUGGAACUGAGACACGGUCCAGACUCCUACGGGAGGCAGCAGUGGGGAAUAUUGCACAAUGGGCGCAAGCCUGAUGCAGCCAUGCCGCGUGUAUGAAGAAGGCCUUCGGGUUGCAAAGCACUUUCAGCGGGGAGGAAGGCGGUGAAGUUAAUAGCUUCACCGAUUGACGUUACCCGCAGAAGAAGCACCGGCUAACUCCGUGCCAGCCGCCGCAGUAA